Molecule: long non-coding RNA, 1708 nt
Filed under: Olea europaea subsp. europaea
Lineage: Eukaryota; Viridiplantae; Streptophyta; Magnoliopsida; Lamiales; Oleaceae
Source: RNAcentral
UGGCAAUCGUGGUUUGUCUCCGGCCUAAAUUGGAAAAUUUCUAUUGCAAUUCACUAUUUACAACUUGUUUCAUUUGUUGUGCUCCAACAAGGUCCUUUACGUAAAGUUCAUUUUUGGGUUGUCAAUUUUCAGAAUGUUUAGAUGGAAAGUAGCAAUCAGACUUGUCAAUAGGAAAAUAGCUAGUAAUAUUUUUGUCGUGUGCCUGAAAUAGGUUCUCCAAGUGUAUACAAAGAUUUGGGGAUUAUUAUUUUCACAAAAUAAUGUGAAAUGUUUAUGCUGUAAUCAUUCUGACAUGGAUUUUAGCAGGACUCUCUGGUUUGACAUUUUGCUUUAAACUCCAAGACAAUGGAAACUGAAUGAUAUCUUUCCAUUCCCAAUCCAACAUCUUACACAGCCCAAUAAUGACAACACAUUUAAGGAUUAUACGAACUAUUUGCAUAACAAUUGUAACUAAAAGAGGCUGAAUCAAACAUAUGGAGCAAAAAAAUUGGAAUACAAAUGGGAUUAUAAUGAUCACCUUCAAAACUUAAUUAAACAUCAACUUGACAGCAUCAUUACAAAAAGAUAAAAAAGUAACAUUGAUAAGAAAUUGUUAAAAUGAUGAUUCUCUGAUAUACUUGAUGUUUGAACACAACAUGCUUACACGAUGGGUGUUUCAGAAGAUUCUCAUUGUUGGUUUAACAUCAAUCUUGACAUGGAGUACCUAUUAAAGCAAGAGAAAGGACAUUACAUAGCAGAAAUAGAGAGAAACAAGACCAAAAUAAAGAUCAAAUUAAUUAAUGAAUAUAAGUAUCCAUUCUACUAAUUCUUUUACCAUAUUACGACUUUUGCUUUACGUUAUGGGGACAUUCCAAAGUAAAAGUUACAGAAUAAAAAUGUAUUGUCUUACAAUUAUACAGUAACAGAAUAUUAGUAACACCGUCAAUCAUAAACAUGAAAGGAAAAAACACAUGAGCUUAAAAAUCUCUAGCAAUGAGCCAUAUGUUGUACACAAGAAUAAUAUGUUUAUUUCACUUCAAUUUUCAACUUAUAAAACUAAAAACAAAAAAUUGGUAUGACAAAGGUUUUGGUGACAUUGUCCUUGGCAGGAACUUGAUAUGGCAGAGGCUUCAAGAAAGGUUUGGGCAUAAGAUCAAUAGAUAGGUAAACAACUUUCUUAAUGUCAUUUAAACGUGUUGCGUCAGAAUCAGAGUUGAAAAUCAUUCAAAUGAUUUCAAACAAGACAGAGGAAGAUUCUUGCAUGGUUUUGGCAAAUCUUCAAAUUCAUCCAAUAGAAAAUGUUAAGAGGAAUUCUUUCCAACUCAAUCUCACAAUCUUUUCCACAUAAGCAAUCGAUUCAUCGAUAUCAGCCCCUGGAUUUUCAUUCAAGUGGAGCAAUACAAGAUUCAUUUUUCUAUCUGCAUUUUCCCUCUGUAGUUUCAAAUAAAAUUGAGAAUUUUUAGUCAUUAACAAACUUAAAAAGCAUAUACAUUGCAUGCAAGAAAAUUUUCCAUUAUCAAUUACUUGAUAGCUCCGAGUGUCAUUCAACAAUCGUAUUAUAGCCAUGAGCAAUUUCGUGACUUUCUUAUAUUUUGCAGUCUUGAGCUUUUCAUUUGCUGCUAUGCCGAAUUCAAUAAACGUGCGGCUAGAAGAGCAAGGGCAUGUGCGGAAAUUGAUAUCAUCCCAGUUUGAAGAUAUUCAUCCAAUGAAGAUCGAACCAUGAACGAAG